CCCUGGUUAGCUCAGUCGGUAGAGCGUUCCACUGGAAGUGGAGCGCUCUACCGACUGAGCUACUGGGAAAUAGAGAGGUCCCGGGAUCGAUACCCGGACCAGGCG
This 105-nucleotide transfer RNA is filed under the name Ixodes scapularis (black-legged tick). It matches the Rfam family "tRNA". Rfam says of the family: Transfer RNA (tRNA) molecules are approximately 80 nucleotides in length. Their secondary structure includes four short double-helical elements and three loops (D, anti-codon, and T loops). The record is from Rfam by way of RNAcentral. Lineage: Eukaryota; Metazoa; Arthropoda; Arachnida; Ixodida; Ixodidae.